This 2130-nucleotide unclassified non-coding RNA is filed under the name Hevea brasiliensis (rubber tree). Lineage: Eukaryota; Viridiplantae; Streptophyta; Magnoliopsida; Malpighiales; Euphorbiaceae. The record is from RNAcentral.
UUUCCUCUUGUUAUAUCUUAUUCACUCUUUCUCCAUCAUACAAACAAAAGCGCACAGAAAAUCAACGAGCAAUAAAACUUAAGCAAUGCACGACAAUCAUUAUCAAGUCAAAAGCAUCUGCAAAAGAUUUAAACCCAACCAUCUAUUGAAAUUUUUCAUCAAACUAGGCCAAUGUGAAGAGCACAUGCUACUUGGAAACAAAAUUAUCAACUAUGUUUCGGUACUGCUUUGCAGAUUUGCAUCGGUGCUACUUUGCAUGUUUGUACUGGUAGUUCUUUGAGAAUUUGCACUGGUUCUUUUCUGAAUGCAUGCAGGAUAUGCACCAUAACGCCAUAUGCCGACAUCCAAACUGAUCUGCCCAUAAGAACCGAAGAAACUAUUUGGAAUUACAAGAAAAUCGUCAGCAUGAGGAUCAUCAUCAUUAACCUUUUGAAUAUUCUUUGUAAAGGACUGAAAUCUAAGAUUACUUCCCUCCAUUUUUGCUGCAAUCUCAUAGUAGUAUCCCCCAUUUGAUGAAGAGGGAGCAAUACAACUAAUAGUGAUCAAAUUUCCAAGGAUUUCUGCUCUGUUGUUCAGAAUAAAUACAACACCUUUCUCUUCUUGAAGAAUAUGGGAUUUGUCAUUAAGGGUAAAAAAUACAGGAAAGGUGUUAUUAUAUUGGAAGUGUAUAGUAGAACCCUUGUGUUUACUGCUAAAAUGCCGGUACAACUGCCUGGAUGAGCCAAUAAAACUGCAACCCAAUAGAGGGCAUGAACAUGGUGUUUGGUUGCAGGUCUUAUCAUGGUCAAAUUUCUUGCUGAAUAUAACCAUUUCUCCACAACCGUACAUCAGAUUUUGGCAUGGUAGUUUCACUGAUUCAAGAACCUUUUCAAUGGCCCGGCAACGAUUAUAGCCAAUAGGCAAAGAGCAGGAAGGACAUUUAUGUGCAAUUUUUUUGCAGCAGGAAGAGCAAGCUGUAUGCCCAUUUUCACACUGAUUUGCCCAGAAAACACCAAAAACAGUUAUGACACAAAAUAUAUGAUACAAAAUAAAUAUAUAUUAAAGGAGAUUAAAAAAGGAUAAAAUUGAGGCUUAAGAUCCAAAUACUACAAAUUUAACUUUAUAAAAGUAAAAUAGCACCAAAUCCAAUCUUUCUAGAACUAAAAUACCACCAAAUUCUAACAUCAAUAUCUAUGGAUCUCUACUAAUACCCAGCGUUAACUUUGGGCAACCUUUCCAAACGAACCCUCUAGCAAAUAAAUCACUAAAUGUAGGAUUGCCACCAACUCCAAACAAAGAAUAUGCAAGACAACUUUGUCCCUCUAACAAUUGGCUAGCAAACAACAAGAUAAUAAUUUUUGCAGCUUCACCAUCAGAUUUAUGCAUACAUUAUCAGUUUGUAUAAUGCUCCCAGUAAAAUUAUCAAACAUAAGUCUCUAAUAUCCCUUGAAAUGUAUCUGCCUUAGAUGCUGCUUCAUGCACAAAUGAUAAAUCUACUUCAUAGGAAAGAUACAAGUAACUAGAUCUGGCCAUGGUCCGGUUCAUACCCAUAACCGGACUGGAGCUCCAUGGGUCCAAAUCGGAACUGGUCAGUUCAAAUUGGCAUUUUUUUUCCUUCUAAAAAAAAAUUCAACCGCUGAAUUGUCUCAAACUGGAGCAGAACCAAAAGCAGAACCGGGGGGCCCAGUCUUGGGCCCUUGGUUCCAAAGAAAUGGAACCAGCCUGUGGCCAAGGCUACCAGUAACUCUCCUUGCAAAAUAUUAUAAUUUUAGUAGAACUUGAGUUCAAACUUCUUAAGCUAAGCAUUUUCUCCCACCCUCAACCCCUGACUCUAUAUGGUAAAUCCAUUAGAUUCACCGCUGAAUAUGCAUAAUGGACCUUCAAAGCUUGGGCUUAUAAUAUAUUUAACCAAACAAUCCUAUUAACCAACAACCUCGGCACCACCAAGUCUAGUGGUAAGCCUUUGGUUUUGGAUGUAUCCAACCCUAGUUUGAUCACCCACAACAAUACAUUGAGACUAAAUAUUGUCUCUGCUUGGCGUGAAGGCCAUUGCUUAUCUAUGGUUGUCCACAGUCUCAACAUCUUAGGACUAUCACAAGCUCGGUAGUAGGUCCCUUUCUAUAAAAGAGAGCCCUCAAUUUUUGCAAUUUG